Trifolium pratense (red clover) is the source of this 1620-nucleotide RNA transcript. RefSeq lists it as uncharacterized. The transcript is spliced from 5 exons. Lineage: Eukaryota; Viridiplantae; Streptophyta; Magnoliopsida; Fabales; Fabaceae. The record is from RefSeq and is a predicted model, not a curated record.
CUCCCUUCUCUCAUCUCAUCUCUCUCGUUUAACAAAACAACAGCACCCAACCAUCUCAAUCUCUCUAAACUUCCUCAUAAAACUCACAUGUAUGUAGUGUUUUAAAUUCCUCAAGCUCCAAUCUCACUAGUGGAAGUGGAAUUGAAGGCCAAAGCUCAAGAGGGAGCUGAAGCUCUCAUUUCAGAUCUGUAACCAAGUUUCAAGGCUAGGAUUAAGCUCCAUUUAUCAGUUAGAGUACUAUGUUUGGAGCUCCAAGAGGACGCGGACGCGGAAGGCCGAGGCGUAAUGUGGCGGAAGAAGAGACUUAUGAAUAUGAGGGAGAAGCGAAUGCUAAUAUGUGGGCACACAUGAUGCAUCAACACCAGCAGUUCCAAGCCCAGCAAGCCCAACAACAUCAGGAGAUGAUGAUGAUGUUCCAGCAGCAAAUGAAUAAUGCACAAAAUCAAAACAUGGGAAGUGCAGCUUUCAGAGAGUUUUGUCGCAUGAAUCCACCUGAGUUCAUUGGAGAGUAUGUUCCCGCCACUGCAAGAGAAUGGAUUCAAAGAAUGAGUGGUAUCCUUGAAUCCAUGGAAUGCACAGAAGCCGAGAAAGUUACUUUCGCGACCAGAUUUUUUCGCGGAGCUGCUUGCAAUUGGUGGGAUGGCGCCCGAGCAUCCAUGUUGUCAAGCCAAACUGAAGUGAAUUGGGAAAAUUUCAGACGCCAAUUCAUAUCCCACUAUAUUCCCGAAAGCUAUCAAUUGCAAAUGGAGCGAGAAUUGACCGAGUUGAAACAAGGAAGCAUGUCAGUUGCUGAGUACACUACAAGGUUCAAUGAGUUAGUUCGUUAUGUGGCCGAUGGUAAUGAUGUGCCAACGGAGGCGUGGAAGAUGAAGAAGUAUCGCUUUGGAUUGCGGGCCGAUAUUGCACAUGAUGUGUUCAUGCAGCCAGUUACCAAUCUUGGUGAUUUAAUCCAGAAAAGUUAUCAUGCUGAGGCAAGUCUUAAUGAUAUUAGAAGGGAAAGGGGUGAGAUUGCCCAAAAGAAGAAGGAUUCUGAAAAGUAUAACAUGCAUCUGAAGCCAAAGAGUUCCCCAAGUAAGAAUAAACAGAAUUACUCUCCUCGAUCUCCAAGGAAGUGUCCAGAUUGUGGUAUUCCUCACAGCGGAGAAUGCAUGAAAGGAAAAGAUGUGUGCUUUUAUUGUAAGCAGCCGGGACAAUACAGGAGUGAUUGUCCUAAACUGCAAAAGCAAGGAGAUGCCAGCGGGACUACCAAGAGCAAAGGAAGGGUGUAUUCACUUGAUGGAAGUGGAAUUGAAGGCCAAAGCUCAAGAGGGAGCUGAAGCUCUCAUUUCAGAUCUGUAACCAAGUUUCAAGGCUAGGAUUAAGCUCCAUUUAUCAGAUAAACAGAAAUCACAUGGUAAGCAGGCUAUGGAGUAGCUGCUGCAGCUGGAUGAAUUAUGUUUAGAUGUUUUUUUGUACUUCUAUCAUGUAUUUUGAUCAUGGCAUGUACUGUAUAUGACUUUAUACUUAUGUUAUAACACCUAUGUGUGCCAUUUUAAUUAUGUCAGGAAUUGUAAACUUAAUGUACCAAGUAUUAAUUAUGUACAAACCUGUUAUAUUCUAGAUAUUUAACUUGGGAUGUUA